RNAcentral lists this microRNA precursor (70 nucleotides) under Astyanax mexicanus (Mexican tetra). Its description in RNAcentral is "miR-430 microRNA precursor family". It matches the Rfam family "miR-430 microRNA precursor family". Lineage: Eukaryota; Metazoa; Chordata; Actinopteri; Characiformes; Acestrorhamphidae. The record is from Rfam by way of RNAcentral.
AUUUGUUCUCUAACAACGGCACUGACCUUUCCAUAGUAAUUAGUAAGUGCUAUUUGUCGGGGUAGUUUAA